Long non-coding RNA from Mytilus trossulus (common blue mussel), 490 nucleotides. RefSeq lists it as uncharacterized. Lineage: Eukaryota; Metazoa; Mollusca; Bivalvia; Mytilida; Mytilidae. The record is from RefSeq and is a predicted model, not a curated record. The transcript is spliced from 3 exons.
UGAACCCCAUACUGGGCCCAUAGGCAGAUUUAGGGGGGGCUGCAGGCUCCCUCUUUUUGGGAAAAAAUUUGGUUGCUUAUAUAGGGAAUCAAUGAAGCGUGACUAGAGCCCUCUUAGGUCAGGCAGUGGGCCCCCCCCUAUGAAAAUUUCUGGAUCCGCCACUAGACCCACUUUUACUGUUGGAUGUUUUAUACCAGGAUGGAGAAAGAUGUUCACUAUGAAUAAAAAAUUCAAAACAGAGGACUUUUAUAUAUCAACAAAAACAAUUGCAGUACAUGCACAUAUACAUGUAUAAAAGUACACUGUCAGCAUGGUCAGAAGAAGAAUUUUACUGGAGGAUUAAAAUUUUGAUACCUGGAAUCAGCAAUGAAUAUGAAAAUGAAAAUAAGAUAUAUUCAUGUACAGAAUGGUAACCGAGGUGGUUCAAUUGUUUAUUAGCAGACAUUUUUGUUGAACUUAUGCAGGAUUGAAUAAAUGAAACUUAAGCUGA